This 253-nucleotide ribosomal RNA is filed under the name uncultured bacterium. Its description in RNAcentral is "partial 16S ribosomal RNA". It matches the Rfam family "Bacterial small subunit ribosomal RNA", at positions 524 to 776 of the family's 1533-position model. The record is from RNAcentral.
UACAGAGGGUGCGAGCGUUAAUCGGAAUUACUGGGCGUAAAGCGCGCGCAGGCGGCCCGCGAGGUGUCACGUGAAAGCCCCGGGCUCAACCCGGGAGGGUCGUGGCAAACCGGCGGGCUUGAGGCCGGUAGAGGUGGGUGGAACUCCUGGUGGAGUGGUGAAAUGCGUAGAGAUCAGGAAGAACACCCGUGGCGAAGGCGGCCCACUGGGCCGGUACUGACGCUGAGGCGCGAAGGCGUGGGGAGCGAACGGG